CUCAUGAUAUGUGGGGGAGGGACUAUUUCUGACGUCCACAGAGAGAACGAGGAGAAAAUUGACAACCAAUGAGGACUCGGCAAGCGACCGGAUAGGCGUUGUAAAACCUUCGUAUAAAAGCUUCCGGCAGCCGACCAUUGCUCAUGACUUAAUCUAUAGCUGUAGUGUUGUACUCUUUGUGUGAAGCGGGUUACUAAACAUAUUAAAUAAUGUGGGCGUCAUAUUUAGCUUUGGUGGUAGAGCAUGUAUUGUAUGUUAACUAUUUUGAUAAAUAUGGGUAAAUGGAUAGUAAUUUUAAAAUUAUGCUUGACAAAUGUGGACGACUGGCAGGUUGUGCGCGUGACACUCGUGAGCCUACUUAAACCCAGUCGACAAUUUGUCCGAGGAAAUCCGCGUCCGUCUGCGAAGUGCUGCUAGCCACGUUGCAGGAGCACAUGGCGGUCGGCAUGGCCCUCUGACCCAGUGUCCAUGCACUGGAGUCUCGACAAGCCUUCCAUGUUUCCGUCGAGAACGGUAAUCCGGCCCAUUUCCUCGCCACGUGGCCUGUUCCAGUUCCUGUAGAGGCUUUCAUUGAAAUAGCUUUUGAAAUGUUUUGACUGAAGAUGUAGAACUGUCUAAAUAAAAGUAAAUUUAUUGCA
Long non-coding RNA from Hypomesus transpacificus, 638 nucleotides. RefSeq lists it as uncharacterized. The record is from RefSeq and is a predicted model, not a curated record. NCBI's taxonomy places the organism in Eukaryota, Metazoa, Chordata, Actinopteri, Osmeriformes, Osmeridae. The transcript has 3 exons.